Callithrix jacchus (white-tufted-ear marmoset) is the source of this 1551-nucleotide non-coding RNA. NCBI's taxonomy places the organism in Eukaryota, Metazoa, Chordata, Mammalia, Primates, Cebidae. The record is from RefSeq and is a predicted model, not a curated record.
UUGUCCACAGGUGGACACCAUCUCAAAGACCCUCCACAGAGAGCAAGCUUCCAGAUGUGGUGGCCAAGGCAGGCUUUAGAGAGGAGAAAGCAUACGGACCGAGCCUUGAAAGCUGCCCAGGGUGUGAACAGGAAGAGAUGGCUGUGGCCACAUGUGGGAGGCUUCCAGGUGGAGUCUGCAGCCAUUGCAAAGGGAGAGAAUGCAAGUCACAAAGAAGGGAGAGUUGUUAACUUUGGCUGAAACAUGGAUUUGUGCAGAAAUUGCUUUUCAUGAAGUAAACAAACAUAAAUAAGGUUUUUUGACUAGUUGCAAAACUCCAGUGGUGAACAGUACACACAGCAUUUCUGAUGUAAUCCCUACUUACAUAAACCAGAAUGUUCCUAAGAGAUUUAGGCCGAAGUUGAUUUUCCUCUCUCCUGUUAAUGUCCUGAGUGUCCCUGGCCUACUCUGGACAUACAAUUUCUUAAGCUUGGACACCACAAACUUCACACUUAAAAGUGAAGUCUUCACUGAAAAGGAUGAAAAGCAGAAACAUUUUAAGAAGCAAUAUUUUUGAAAGCUUACAAUCAGAAGGAGUAGAGCAAAAUAUUACAUUCUUAUGCUCAUUUUGGCCUGUGAAGUUUAAAAAAGAACACUUAAUCACAGCUGUCUUUUCUCUGGAUUUUAAAAAAUCCUUGACUUGCUUUCUCAGUCCUAUGUAAUAUAUACAAAAAGUAUAUAAUAUGUAAAAUAUGUUGUAUAUGUAAGAGAAGAUCUGAUAUUUGCCAUUUUUUCACAUUGACACAUAUUGGCACCUAGUAAUGUAUCUAAUUUAAUUUUAGAUGAAGCUAAACUCUUGGAGCCCCAGAUAAGUCAGAAGAGGCCAACUAGCCACCUCCCGGAAUCAUAUUUUAUUCCUUCCCUAUUUCUACAUCUCUUUCAGUGGAUGUUAACAAGAAGUUUUACGUAUUUAAUUCUUAAAGAGAGAGUUAACACCGACGUAUAUAGCAGUAAGUCAAGAAAGAAGCGUUUAGAAUCGCUGUGCCCCAACCAAAAACUGGUCAGAUUAAUUAAAAGUUGACCACAAAAAAGUAGGUGAAAUGUGGGUGAUGACAAGAAAUCAACUCUGCAAGGAGAGGAGGGUCAAGGAAGGUGGGAGAAGCCAGAAUAGUCCAAAGAAAAAGGUGUUUCAAUUACUUUGGUGCCAUCUGGUUGCAAAAGGGCCACGGGUGCCAGAGCUGCCAAACAUCGUGGGUGAGAAGCAAAGGUUUGCAGGGCAGGAAGACCAGAAGUCAGAGAGCACAGACACACAUAUACACAGGAGAGUUUUUAAUCUUUUUAAUCACUUUUCCAUCAUUGCUUUGUUUACACCUACAUGACAUUAGAAGCGCAAGCACAUUUGAAGAAGAAAUCAGUUAGAAAGUUUAAAUAUGAAUAUUUAAAUCAAUCGAGAACAAUUCAGAAAAGCACCUUUGUCCCACCCACUGCUGUGACAGACCGGAACCUGAGAUUAUUUUAUUAUCUACAGUAACCGCUGCCGCUGACUAACAAAUCAGUUCACAAUACCUUCUC